GAGUUUGAUUCUGGCUCAGGAUGAACGCUGGCGGCGUGCUUAACACAUGCAAGUCGAACGGGCGAAUUAUAUCGGAGGUCUUCGGGCCAAAGAGAUAAUAAGCUAGUGGCGGACGGGUGCGUAACGUGUGGGUAAUCUGCCUUUGUCAUAGGAAUAACUGCUUGAAAAAGUAGCUAAUACCAAAUAACAUAUCGUAUAGGCAUCUAUAAGAUAUCAAAGAGAAAUCGGACAAAGAUGAGCCCGCAUCUGAUUAGCUGGUUGGUAGGGUAAAAGCCUACCAAGGCGACGAUCAGUAGCCGGCCUGAGAGGGUGAACGGCCACAUUGGAACUGAGACACGGUCCAAACUCCUACGGGAGGCAGCAGUGGGGAAUAUUGCACAAUGGGGGGAACCCUGAUGCAGCAACGCCGCGUGAGUGAAGAAGGCUUUCGAGUCGUAAAAACUCUGUUGUAAUGGGAAAGAUAAUGUCGGU
RNAcentral lists this ribosomal RNA (471 nucleotides) under Filifactor villosus. Its description in RNAcentral is "bacterial SSU rRNA". It matches the Rfam family "Bacterial small subunit ribosomal RNA", at positions 9 to 460 of the family's 1533-position model. Lineage: Bacteria; Bacillati; Bacillota; Clostridia; Peptostreptococcales; Filifactoraceae. The record is from RNAcentral.